RNAcentral lists this long non-coding RNA (1888 nucleotides) under Mus musculus (house mouse). RNAcentral describes it as "long non-coding RNA chr1:184046913-184048801". The record is from RNAcentral. Lineage: Eukaryota; Metazoa; Chordata; Mammalia; Rodentia; Muridae.
UAAGCACCUUUCAGGCUGAUCACAUUGCUAUUUAAAGAUGGGCCUUGGGUCUCCUUGAUGAGUGCAUUGUCCUGGAGGUGCAUCCCAUUAAAUACAACUUCCCUUCCCCCAAGUCCUUGGCUGUCUUCAAGUGAAAAUUCCAUUGGUUUUUAAGAAGAGUGUCCUGCUCUGUCCUUAAAGCUGACUUUGCAAGUGAUCUUAACCCCGGGUUGUGUCUCAGACUCUGGAAACUUUAACGUAUGUAUAAUGUGUCAGAAGUUUUGGGUUUUCUGACUGUUUUGUUUUUAGUUUAAUUCAAUUAGAGAAACCUUUGAAAAUGGUGAUGUUAUUUCUGGUAUUUAGGAAGCAUUUCCGUACUGUCAGUGUCUUGUGUCAUCAGAAUACCGGUGGCUUAGAAUCAGAGAUUCAGGCCUUUGGCCUGGUACACGGUGAACCCGGGCAUCUUAUGAUGGAGCUUGUUGUUAGUAUAUAUUUAAAUGUCUGGAACCUUAAUAGUAGAGAGGUAGAGGUGUUAUGUAUUAAUCUAUCCCACUCUCCGUAGUGGGAGCUAGAUGCAGGAGAAGAAAGGCAGGUGUAAAUCUAGGAAGAGUGAGUCAGCAGAAGAUGUGCUUGGUCCCGGUGACUCCAUCCAUGAGUGCUCACAUCUCUGGCUUUUGCAGUCUAGUUAGUGGGGAUUGGGAUGUUAAUUACACAUUUCCCAUCCUUCCUGGCUGUCUCGUAGGCCUUCGUUUUGCUUUGAGAAAUGGAAUCCUCUGAGACAAGCCCACAGACCCACCAUCGGUCUGUUGCCUGGUUGCUGGGUUUUGACCUCUCCUUUCCUGUUCUGUCUGGCCUGAGAUACUGCGAGGGGUUGGAGGGGGUAGGUAGUUAAGUGACCUCAGGAGCCUGUUAUAGGGAGUAGCAUGCUCUUAGGCAGGAUCAGGUACCCAGUUUCACCUAUUGGAAAUUCGGAAACUCAAAAGCCUAAGGUAUCGCCUCACCCCAAACAUCUCAGGUCCCUCUCCUCCCUUCUCUCCCCUUCACUCUCCCUCCCCCACUCCAAGUCUUCUUUUUUCCAUUCUCUGUCUUUUUGACAGGGUUUCAUGUGGCCCAGGCUGGCCUUGAAUUCAGUUACUGAGGAUGUCCUUGUGUUUCGACGACGUCCUGUCUACCGAGGCCCCAGUCAUGCACCACCACACCACACCCUCCUGGGCUGUUUGGUGAAUCUGUGAUUCUGCCUUGCCUUAUAACAUACUCGUCCUUCCUAUUAUAAAUAGACUUUUUCUCUUAGAGGAAGUGGACGUUGGUCACUCGGAGACAAGAUUCCAGGGCGGAUUGAUGACUUGGAAUUUUGAUCUUGUCAUUUCAACACUUGGACAAGGGAACUUUGCUGUGCCUCAGUUCCCCCAGCUGUGAGAAUGGAGAUAAUGACGAUGUUCACGUGGGGUGGGGGCAAGGGAUGGGGCCAAGGGAAGAUAAAUUAAAUAGUUGCUUAUUUAAGUACUAUAAAUGAUGUCUGGCCUGUAAAGAGUGAUAUUGAUUAAAAACUCAACAUAAUUAUAAUACAAAAUAAUUAUAGUAAUAAGCCAUCUACUUCUUCUUCUUUUUUUUUUUUUUAAUGAGGAUUGUUAAGUAGCAUUGUUCCAUACAGUGAUCUGACAUCAGUACUAAAGCAAUAGGAAAAUCUUCGCUGCUUCCAGGAUCUUCUUGUUUCAAUGUUUAGAAAAGAGUCAGUAUUUCAGUGAGGUGGACAGAUGACUACCCAGGUCCUUUAUUUUUUCUGGAUUGGUGCUAUGUUGGAAAAAAAAAUACAUGCAAUUCCUCUCAAAGAAAACUGCAGAAAAUUGAGUGCUAGUAAAAGCUGUUAAUAUACACUUACUGUUAGAACAUGAAGAACAUUUCACAAUGG